UUUAACUAAGAACACGAUUAUUACUUAUUCAAAUAUGAAAGGGCCAAUUACGUUCGGUUAUGUCGGAUACAUUGGAUAACAAGUGCGACGUUGGACGAGUGGUAAUAACAAAAAGCCAGCAGAUACCAGAAACAGUUAUUUGGGCAGAAAUAAAUAAAGAUUGUAGGAAAAAUCAAGUUGUGGGUUGUUGAGGACAUACAUGAAUCUACACCAAACUAUUUAUAGGCAAUGAGAAGCUUGAGAAAGAAGAUACUAAAGGCUAAACAGCUCCUUUUCAAAUACUCAACCAUUUGUUAUAAGGACGCUUCAGGAAGAACCAAAGUCGGUGUAAUCGAACCAUCAGCUGGACUCCAAAGAGUUCAACAGACUCUCUGAGUGCUCUAUGUGUUCAGCACUUCAUACUCAAACAACGAAACGAACAAAACAUAAUGUGCUGAACACAUAGGCAGCCACAGACUUCAAGCGACAUCUCUCAAAUAUUAAAAUACACACAGCAAUUGCCCGAUGCAUCUCGCUUGUGAAUUUUUCAGACGCCGGGCAGGAUGCAGAUCGCAAUUUCUAUCUUAGAAAUUCUACCACAAUUAUGACUUUAUCUACCACUAUAAAAUUGUGUACCACGGCAACUUUUCUAAUUACUACUGUAACGUGCGAGCACUACUCAGAGGAUUCGCUAUAAUUAUCUUCUCCAGUUGCAGUAUGUAAUGAUUGGUUUGUCUAAUGAUUGGUUGGAUUUAACAUUUUCAGCUUUGCGUUUACGUCCAACUGAAUUAUUGAACAGGUUACAAUUGCAUGCAACAUAACAUUUUUUCCGCAGUUGAAGCAUUUAACCAUACCAUCAUUUUUCUUAAGUAUUUUUGUAGAUUUUCGAGUUUUUUUUGAAAUUUUUUUUCUUCCCCGUGGAUCCGCGCCUGGUAAUGGAUAUACUAUAUUUAUGUAUGUACGUUUAUCUUUAUUUUUCAUUCAAACCAACUUUUUGGUUCUAGUAUUCGUUUUCGCCACAAUAUCAUCAGUACAAUACAAAAAUGUCACUUGUGAAUCUCAUCACCGAGAAAAUUUGAAGCUUGAAAUCAACUUGUGCUACUCUGAUUUAGCGCUAAGGAAAGCUUAUAAAUUAUUACAGUUGAUUUAGAUUAGUGAUGAGGAAUAUUUCACUACCGGUGAUUUUUUCACUGUGAUUGAAAAAUCGCAGAUCGCAACUGCGAUCACUUUUGUAAAUAGCAGUCCUAUCUAUGAAUUGCGAUUGCGAAAGCAGUUUCUUUCUGUGAAUUGUGAUAGCAGCUUAAAGCAUAAAAGUGGCAGAUGUGGUAAAUACGCAUUUGCGAUUUUUCGUUACAGCGGUUUUCAAUUUUAAGCGUAACGUCUUAUGAUUUUUUAUUAAGGACAGGAAAAUUUUCAAGGAAUAUAAACGUAACUGACGUUUGAAGUGGUAAAUGAAAUUAAAAAAAAAAAUCUUUAACCAAUUUAAAGAAACAUUUUCAAAACACACCACAGCCGCUUUUGCGAUGAUUAGUCGUUUAAGAAGUAAUCGAUACUUGCAACUA
Molecule: long non-coding RNA, 1541 nt
Organism: Bactrocera latifrons
Lineage: Eukaryota; Metazoa; Arthropoda; Insecta; Diptera; Tephritidae
Exons: 3
Source: RefSeq, a predicted model, not a curated record